GAUGAACGCUGGCGGCGUGCCUAAUACAUGCAAGUCGAGCGAACAGACGAGGUGCUUUCUCCUCUGACGUUAGCGGCGGACGUGUUAGUAACACGUGGAUAACCUACCUAUAAGACUUGUAUAACUUCGGGAAACCGGAGCUAAUACCGGAUAAUAUAUUGAACCUCAUUGUUCAUUUGUUUAAGACGUUUUUUCUGUCACUUAUAGAUUGAUCCGCGCCGCAUUAGCUAGUUGGUAAGGUAACGGCUUACCAAGGCGACGAUGCGUAGCCGACAUGAGAGGGUGAUCAGCCACACGGGAACUGAGAAAGGGAACAGACACCUACGGGAGGGAGAAGUAGGGAAUAUUAGGCAAUAGGCGAAAGCCUGACGGAGCAACGGCGCGUGAGUGAUGAAGGUGUUCGGAUCGUAAAACUCUGUUAAUAGGGAAGAGAAAAUGUGUAAGUAACUAUGGACGUCUUGACGGUACCUAAUAAGAAAGCAACGGCUAACUACGUG
This 497-nucleotide ribosomal RNA is filed under the name uncultured bacterium. Its description in RNAcentral is "partial 16S ribosomal RNA". It matches the Rfam family "Bacterial small subunit ribosomal RNA", at positions 28 to 507 of the family's 1533-position model. The record is from RNAcentral.